Bos taurus (domestic cattle) is the source of this 73-nucleotide non-coding RNA. NCBI's taxonomy places the organism in Eukaryota, Metazoa, Chordata, Mammalia, Artiodactyla, Bovidae. The record is from Rfam.
UCCCUGGUGGUCUAGUGGCUAAUACUCUGCUCUCCCAAUGCAGGGGGCCUGGGUUUGAUCCCUGGUGGGGGAA